Molecule: non-coding RNA, 25 nt
Filed under: Mus musculus (house mouse)
Lineage: Eukaryota; Metazoa; Chordata; Mammalia; Rodentia; Muridae
Source: RNAcentral
UGAGCAGGGCUGAUCUCUCCGCUGC